CCCGCAUGCUACCUGAUCCGAGGUCAAAUUUUCAAAAGUUGGGGGUUUAACGGCAGGGCACCGCCAGGGCCUUCCAGAGCGAGGGUUUAACUACUGCGCUCGGGGUCCUGGCGAGCUCGCCACUAGAUUUCAGGGCCUGCUUCGUUAAAAGCAGUGCCCCAACACCAAGCAAUGCUUGAGGGUUGAAAUGACGCUCGAACAGGCAUGCCCUCCGGAAUACCAGAGGGCGCAAUGUGCGUUCAAAGAUUCGAUGAUUCACUGAAUUCUGCAAUUCACAUUACUUAUCGCAUUUCGCUGCGUUCUUCAUCGAUGCCAGAACCAAGAGAUCCGUUGUUGAAAGUUUUGAUUCAUUUGUGUUUUUUCUCAGAGUUUCAGUGUAAAAACAGAGUUGACUUGGCCGCCGGCGUGCCGUCUCCUCACCGAAGUGAGGGGCCUACUAGAGACCAGCAUGCGCCGAGGCAACAAAAGGUAUAAGUUCACAAAGGGUUUCUGGGUGCGCCUGGGGCGCGUUCCAGCAAUGAUCCCACCGCAGGUUACCCCUACGGGAA
This 548-nucleotide ribosomal RNA is filed under the name fungal sp. SNB-GTC2801. RNAcentral describes it as "partial large subunit ribosomal RNA". The record is from RNAcentral. Lineage: Eukaryota; Fungi.